GAUGAACGCUGGCGGCGUGCCUAAUACAUGCAAGUCGAGCGAACAGAUAAGGAGCUUGCUCCUUUGACGUUAGCGGCGGACGGGUGAGUAACACGUGGGUAACCUACCUAUAAGACUGGGAUAACUUCGGGAAACCGGAGCUAAUACCGGAUAAUAUUUCGAACCGCAUGGUUCGAUAGUGAAAGAUGGUUUUGCUAUCACCUAUAGAUGGACCCGCGCCGUAUUAGCUAGUUGGUAAGGUAACGGCUUACCAAGGCGACGAUACGUAGCCGACCUGAGCGGGUGAUCGGCCACACUGGAACUGAGACACGGUCCAGACUCCUACGGGAGGCAGCAGUAGGGAAUCUUCCGCAAUGGGCGAAAGCCUGACGGAGCAACGCCGCGUGAGUGAUGAAGGUCUUCGGAUCGUAAAACUCUGUUAUUAGGGAAGAACAUACGUGUAAGUAACUGUGCACGUCUUGACGGUACCUAAUCAGAAAGCCACGGCUAACUACGUG
Molecule: ribosomal RNA, 497 nt
Filed under: uncultured bacterium
Lineage: Bacteria
Description: partial 16S ribosomal RNA
Rfam family: Bacterial small subunit ribosomal RNA
Source: RNAcentral